CUAAGGAGCAGUUGGCACACUUGUAACUGAGUUGCUUUAUAAGAGGGAGUAAAGGACUUUUUGUUUUUAUUUUGUUUCCUUAUCCAGCACUUGAAGCAUGAUGAUCAAUUCCAACAGAAGACAAAAGAAUGUGCUAUGGAAAGCACUCCAAAUCCUGGAAGAGAGCUCCUGGCAUCACCGAGACUGUAAGAUAACCAGAAGGCUCUUCAAGAUUCCAUGACCAUGUUUUAAUGAGGAAAAUGAUAUGGCUAUGCACCAUGUAUAUGAGGUCGACAUCUUAGGAAAAGACAGAACAAUCAGAUGCAAACAGUUUCCAGAAUGACCAUGUGGAACAGUCAUUCACCAGCCAAGUCUGUCACCAUACAUCAGUUAUACGAUAAGUCAAUAAUUUUUUUUUCUUGAAGACAUUAACCUUUGGAACCUCUGUUAACACAGUUUAGCCUUCACCUUAACUAAUAUAAGUGGUUUGCACACAUUUGGAAUAAAACGAGUAUUAUCAAUUUCUUAGUAUCUUGC
Molecule: long non-coding RNA, 516 nt
Filed under: Vulpes vulpes (red fox)
Lineage: Eukaryota; Metazoa; Chordata; Mammalia; Carnivora; Canidae
Description: lncRNA (ENSVVUG00000029993.1)
Source: RNAcentral